Molecule: ribosomal RNA, 429 nt
Filed under: Actinomycetes bacterium
Lineage: Bacteria; Bacillati; Actinomycetota; Actinomycetes
Also listed under: 1 other name
Description: Actinobacteria bacterium partial 16S ribosomal RNA
Rfam family: Bacterial small subunit ribosomal RNA
Source: RNAcentral
UAGGGAAUCUUCCGCAAUGGGCGAAAGCCUGACGGAGCAACGCCGCGUGAGUGAUGAAGGUCUUCGGAUCGUAAAACUCUGUUAUUAGGGAAGAACAAAUGUGUAAGUAACUAUGCACGUCUUGACGGUACCUAAUCAGAAAGCCACGGCUAACUACGUGCCAGCAGCCGCGGUAAUACGUAGGUGGCAAGCGUUAUCCGGAAUUAUUGGGCGUAAAGCGCGCGUAGGCGGUUUUUUAAGUCUGAUGUGAAAGCCCACGGCUCAACCGUGGAGGGUCAUUGGAAACUGGAAAACUUGAGUGCAGAAGAGGAAAGUGGAAUUCCAUGUGUAGCGGUGAAAUGCGCAGAGAUAUGGAGGAACACCAGUGGCGAAGGCGACUUUCUGGUCUGUAACUGACGCUGAUGUGUGAAAGCGUGGGGAUCAAACAGG